Equus caballus (horse) is the source of this 5421-nucleotide long non-coding RNA. NCBI's taxonomy places the organism in Eukaryota, Metazoa, Chordata, Mammalia, Perissodactyla, Equidae. The record is from Ensembl.
CGGAACAUCAGAUCCAUAGGGUCACCCGGACUCGGGUUGCACAGUUUGGGGGAGAAGACCUCCCAGGUGACGAGGUGUCCUUCCUAUUGGAUCUCAUCAAGAGGUGCGUGAUGUCAGCUUGUCCCGCACACAGUGACGCUGACCUGGAUCGGCAUUCGGGUGGGGACACCAGGCGCCCCCAGUGAGGCUGCACACAGAACUUACUGGCGCUGGGAGCAGGAGCCACAACCUGAAGCCUUGCCGCCACUGGGAAGGAAGGCCCCUGAAGCCUCCCGAAGCCCCUCCAAAGCCAGGAGAGGUGCUACAUUAGCAACAAUCAGGUGGACAUCGUGGAGAGAGCGUAAUCAUUCUCAAUUCACAGUGUCUCUAUAUUUGUAUUAAUAAUAACACUUGUCACUUAUUACUGGCUUACCAAGUGCCAGGCACUUUAUAGACCUUAUUUCACCCUCUCGGGAAUUCAUUUAUUAUUAUUCCCACUUUCCUGAAGAGGAGAUUGAGGGUGAGGGAGGUACAGACACUUUCCUAAGGUCGUUGUAGAGCUGGUAAGUGCUCGGCCUGCCGUGCCCGCACCCGUUCCUCUGGACAGUGUUGCGUCCCCACACUCUGCACACGUGCCCAGGGAGCUCCCGGAGAGAAGACGAGACAGCUUCUCACAAAGGAGAGUCAGGUUCUGGCUUUCCCACCCCUCCCCUUGGCUAUGAGCAGAGGAAUUGUUUAUUUUCCCAAAGUGCAGCCUUGCAAAUAGCUCCCAGCCCACUGGCCCAGGUUUCUGGAUUGGGAGGCGGACACAGAAGGCAGCUGAAAGUGCUUCUCUCUCACUGCGGCUCAGCAAGGAGAGGUGCGUCGGAGAGCUCUUCAUCUCCUAGUGUUUGCAUUGCUGCGGCCAGGGUAGGUGGGGAAUGAACCAACGAGACUCCACGCUGGGGAACUUUUAUAUCUGAAGUGUAAGAGCAAAGGGCUCUCUCUCUCUCUCUGUCUCUCUUUCUGUUCCUGUCUCUCUCUGUCUCGGUCUCGGUCUCUGUCUCUCUCUCUUUGCCUCUCUGUCUCUGUCUCUCUGUCUGUCUCUGUCUCUGUCUCUCUUUCCAAGCCCUCUGUUAUACAUAUGGUGUUGGGCACGAAUAUUUCCAGACUUUUCCAUCGUCACCUGGACUCUGGAAGAGGAGUAUCUUACAGACUUCAGGUCUGGCCUACCCAUUUUGUAGAUGGGAAAGCUGAGGCAUUGAAACGUCUAGGCUCUGGGCUGCUUGAGGACACCAAGGUGUCGACUUGUCCCCAGAGCCCAGCAAGGCAUUCAGCACACAAUAUACAUUUCACUAAUAGACAUUGCAUGAGUCAAUGAAUGAAUGAGAAGUUUGGCAGUUAAAAACAAAUGAACAAAACCCUAAAGCUUUUGUUUUUUUUGGGUCCUACUGGGUGGAGGUGACCAAUUCGAGGAAGAAGAACCAAUGAACCGGGUCCUUCGUGAGAAGAUGGGGCCAGGCCCCACUGUGAGGUGCUCGGUGACUCAGUCAGCACUCCCAUCCACAGACCACUGACUCACUUACGUCCUGUGUGGGGAGAAGUACAAAGCCAGGAACAGAAUCUGGACAAGGCCCCAGACGGCCGGGCCCCACUGCCUCCCUGCUCUCCUUUCCCACCUUCCCGCUCACUCUGGGAGAUAUGCCAGACACAUCCCCACCUCAGGCCUUUGUCUCUGCUGUUCCCCCUGCCGGGAACCCUUAGCCACCGGCUCUUUGCUUGACUGAGCCUCAGCUCCAACAGCACCUCCUCAGAGAAACCUUCCCGACCACCGCAGCCGUCGCUGCCGCUGUGAUCCAGUUUAUUUCCUUCUGAGCGCUUACUUCUGCUCUGAACGAGCCAGCCUGUUCCUGCCCUCCUGCUGGGUCCUCUGCUGCCCCACCACAGUGUAAGCUCCAGGAGGCCCUGCUCCAGCUUGAUGUCACCAUGUCCUUGGUGCCUGGAGUUGCGUGCGGCAUGUGAAAAGCACCCAAUGCACAAGUGCUGUAUGAGUGAGAAAAGGGGCUGGAGCUGACUUCCGCACCAAGGCCUCUGGGCCCCCUUACAGAUUAGCCCUGAGCUAACUGCUGCCAAUCCUCCUCUUUUUGCUGAGGAAGACUGGCCCUGAGCCAACAUCCAUGCCCAUCUUCCUCUACUUUAUACAUGGGACGCCUACCACAGCAUGGCUUUUGCCAACCAGUGCCAUGUCCGCACCCGGGAUCUGAACCAGUGAACCCCAGGCCUCAGAGAAGCAGAACGUGCGAACUUAACCGCUGCACCACCAGGCCGGCCCCACUACUGAUCUUCUUAUUAUCUCCAUAGUUUUGCCUUUUCCAGAAUGUCAUAUAGUUGGAAUUAUAGUAUGUGGCCUUUUCAGACUGGCUUCUUUCACUUAGCAAUAGGCAUUUAAGAUUCCUCAUUGUCUUUUCGUGGCUCGAUAGCUCAUUUCUUUUUAGAGCUGAGUAGUAUUCCAUUCUGCAAGCAUACUAAAGUUUAUUUAUUUCUUCACCUACUGAAGGAUAUCUUGGUUGCUUCUAAGUUUUUGCAAUUAUGAAUAAAGCUCCUAUAAAUGUCCAAGUGCAGGUUUUUGUGUGGAUAUAAAUUUUCAACUCAUUUGGAUGAAUACCAAGGAGCAUGAUUGCUGGAUCACACAGUGACAGUAUAAUUUAGUUUUAUGAUCCCCUUUUCUAGAGUCCCAUUCAUUGCCAAAAUUCUCCAUCUUGUCUUUUAACUCACUGAACAUUUAAUCAUAGUUGUUUUAAAGUCCAUGUCAGAUAAUUCUAUUUUCUGGAUCCCCUUGAAUUUGGUUUUAUUGUUUGUGCGAUUUUUUUUCCCCCCAAUUUUUGGCCAAGUCUUGUUUUUUUGUAAACCUGGACAUUCAAUAUGAAAAAUUACAGAGAUAAUUUGAUCCCCUUACUUUUGCUUCUGGCAGGAAGCUCAGUGGAGACCACUGGAACAGUCCCAGAUUGCCUUAGUCACUGAGGACCUGAGCUGGCUUGCAGUCAGGAUUCAGUCCCUGGGAGGGCUGGUCUAUUUCUUGUUCUUAACAUGCAGCCUUCAGGAGCCCGGCCCAAAGUCUUGGAUGUUUCGUGAACCCCUCCUCCUUGGUAGGUUCCAGACUCCAAGCUCCAUGAGUCUGGUGAGAGCUCUGCUCAGCUUCCUAGCCUCUCAGAUGUCACUUUCAAGUCAGCCAUCACCUUGAGGGGGAAAGUAGCGUCUGUUGCCAGCUUUGCCUCCCUGGGCAUCCAUCCUUUCCUAGACCUCGGCCCCAUGAUUCUUGUAAUUUCUCAUUGCAUUGAUGGUACCUUCAGACAGAUGUGUUUUUCUUUCUAAUUUUAUCCAGUUUUCUAGUGUUCUCAGCAGGAGGAAUGGUCUGAAAUAAUCUACUCCACCAUUGCCGGAAGUCCUCCAAUUAUGUUUAGAGAAAAGUGAAUACUCCUUGUCCUGCCUACCAGCUUCCUGCCAUACCAUUCUCUCCCUUGCUUGCGACACUGUAGUGAAAUGUGGGGCUUUUUCCUAUAACUUGAAUAUGACAAGCUCCUUCAUGCCCCAGCACCUUUGCACCCACUUUCCCCUCUGUCUAGAAUGUUGUUUCCUUUACUUCAUUUUCCAGGCCUCUGUUUAAAUGUCAGUUCUUCUGAGAGGCCUUUCCUGACCUUGCAUUCUAACUCAUUCAGCUGUACACUCACACCCUGUUCCACGUGGCCGCUCUUGUAUACACCCUGCUCUUCCCUUCACACCACUUACCACAAUUUUUAAUUAUAUAUUGAUCUAUUAUCCUUUGUUGGUUGUCUGUCUUCCCACCACAGGGAAGUCCUGCGAGGCCAGGGUUGUCUGAGUUUGGGCUCCCUCACAGGCAGGCCCUGAGAUGAAGAUUAAGCACACGUUGUUUUUUGGGAAUUGCAGGUAAUAGGGAGGGAAGGCAGCCAAGAAGGGGUGCGAUUAUGCAGUGACCACGGUGGGCAGCGGAGCCAUCCUGCGAGAAAGCUGGGGAACAUGGCACAAAACUCAUGCCCAGGCGGGGGCUGGGCAUUUACACACCAGUUCCUGCCAGGCCUGCUGGUGGGGGCUGCUCCUGGGGUCCACAGAGUCCCUGGUGCUGCUGCCCUGCAGCUGGCACAGAGCCCCACAGAGGGGCGGCAGGCUCGGCCUGGAAGGCAUCUGGGCGCAGGGAAGCAGGAGGACCUGAGAGGGUCCACAGGGCCCUGCCAGGACGGCUUCUGUUCGGGGGACCAUUUUAUUCCCAGCCCCAGACACGGGGCCUGGCAGGCAGUAGGAAGUCAAUGAUGACAUGUUGAAUAAGUGCACUUUUAGAACUCCGUGCCAGGUUUAGAACCUAGCUCUCCAAACGGGCUCGCCAUGGUAUUAAAGAUAAUUGUCGGGACCCUGCUGCCGGCCAGGCGCCUUCGAGGGCAGGAAGGGGCUUUCCAUAAGAGCAGAGUAAUCAGAGGAGGGCGCCCCACAGCCUGGAGCCUGGUCUUUUUGAAGAACGAGACUGUGCACCCUGUGGAGAAGAAACGUCUCAGCGACAGUCCUCACGUGCCCCGGGCCAUCCUAGGGGUCAUCCCGCAUAGACUGCACGGGCGAGAAGGCCCCGGUGGAUGGUGCUCUGCCAGCUUGGAGGAGAGCUUCCGCACUCUGCACUGCUCAGAGGCGGCCCCAGCUGAGGCGGGAGCUCCCUGCCACUGCUCCUCCAGGAGAAAACUAGGUCCCGGCCCUCAGAGCGCCUGCUGCCUGGUUGAGAGGACAAGACGUCCCUCUGCGUAGCGCUGGACGAGAAGGACAGGCCCGCACACAACAGCUUGAGGCGAAAACACUCAGACUCGGUUUCUGGUUCCCAGAGUGCACGCUGGGCCGCCAGGCGGAGGAGGCGCUGAGGCAGGAGUCAGUGGUUCUGUUGAUUCAUCUGUAUGAUCUUAGUGCUGUGUUUCAAAGGGCCCGCUCGGUCCAGUGCUGGAUGGGGCCUGCUUGUACAAGGCGCCCUUGUUGGGUUUCAGAGCACCUGACACCUGGAUUGAGAUGCUGACAAGCCCAGGAAGGGGCUGGAAGGAAAGUGGGGCCACCCCUGGGAAACACACCGGGGUCUCCGAUAGCUUUGUCCUGUGUCUCCCACUGUGUUUUGUUUUAUAUGUCGACUUGGCUGGGCUACAGAACCCAGAUGUUUGGUUCAAUACUAGUCCAGAUGCUGCCGUGAAGGUGUUUUUAUGUAAGAUUAACAGUCAAAUCAGUAGACUUUGAGGAAAGCAGAUGAUCCUCCCUAGUGUGGUGGGCCUCAUCGAAUCAGUUGGAGGCCUUAAGAGAAAAUGACUGCGACUCCUGAUGGCCUCUGGACUCCAGCUGUAACAUCGCCUCUUCCCUGGGUCUCCAGCCCGCCAGCCUGCCCUACAGAUCUUGGACUUGCCAGACCCCACAGCUGCAUGAGCC